RNAcentral lists this ribosomal RNA (248 nucleotides) under uncultured bacterium. RNAcentral's name for it is "partial 16S ribosomal RNA". It matches the Rfam family "Bacterial small subunit ribosomal RNA", at positions 529 to 776 of the family's 1533-position model. The record is from RNAcentral.
AGGGCGCAAGCGUUGUCCGGAAUUACUGGGCGUAAAGCGUGCGCAGGCGGUUUGCUAAGACAGGUGUGAAAUCCCCGGGCUUAACCUGGGAACUGCGCUUGUAACUGGCAAGCUAGAGUGUGGCAGAGGGGGGUGGAAUUCCACGUGUAGCAGUGAAAUGCGUAGAGAUGUGGAGGAACACCGAUGGCGAAGGCAGCCCCCUGGGCUAACACUGACGCUCAUGCACGAAAGCGUGGGGAGCAAAUAGG